GUGAGGAAUAUUGGUCAAUGGAUGAGAAUCUGAACCAGCCAAGUAGCGUGAAGGAUGACGGCCCUACGGGUUGUAAACUUCUUUUGAAAGGGAAUAAAGUGUGGUACGUGUACCAUAUUGUAUGUACCUUUGGAAUAAGCAUCGGCUAACUCCGUGCCAGCAGCCGCGGUAAUACGGAGGAUGCGAGCGUUAUCCGGAUUUAUUGGGUUUAAAGGGUGCGUAGGCGGACGUUUAAGUCAGUUGUGAAAGUUCGAGGCUCAACCUUGGAAUUGCAAUUGAUACUGAUCGUCUAGAGAUUACAUAAGGUAGGCGGAAUUCGUGGUGUAGCGGUGAAAUGCUUAGAUAUCACGAAGAACUCCAAUUGCGAAGGCAGCUUGCCGGGGUAUAUCUGACGCUGAGGCACGAAAGUAUGGUUAUCAAACAGGAUUAGAUACCCGUGUAGUCC
This 445-nucleotide ribosomal RNA is filed under the name uncultured bacterium. RNAcentral describes it as "partial 16S ribosomal RNA". It matches the Rfam family "Bacterial small subunit ribosomal RNA", at positions 354 to 796 of the family's 1533-position model. The record is from RNAcentral.